AUUGAACGCUGGCGGCAGGCCUAACACAUGCAAGUCGAGCGGAUGAAGGGAGCUUGCUCCUGGAUUCAGCGGCGGACGGGUGAGUAAUGCCCAGGAAUCUGCCUGGUAGUGGGGGAUAACGUCCGGAAACGGGCGCUAAUACCGCAUACGUCCUGAGGGAGAAAGUGGGGGAUCUUCGGACCUCACGCUAUCAGAUGAGCCUAGGUCGGAUUAGCUAGUUGGUGGGGUAAAGGCCUACCAAGGCGACGAUCCGUAACUGGUCUGAGAGGAUGAUCAGUCACACUGGAACUGAGACACGGUCCAGACUCCUACGGGAGGCAGCAGUGGGGAAUAUUGGACAGUGGGCGAAAGCCUGAUCCAGCCAUGCCGCGUGUGUUAAGAAGGUCUUCGGAUUGUAAAGCACUUUAAGUUGGGAGGAAGGGCAGUAAGUUAAUACCUUGCUGUUUUGACGUUACCAACAGAAUAAGCACCGGCUAACUUCGUG
Molecule: ribosomal RNA, 484 nt
Filed under: uncultured bacterium
Lineage: Bacteria
Description: partial 16S ribosomal RNA
Rfam family: Bacterial small subunit ribosomal RNA
Source: RNAcentral